This 852-nucleotide ribosomal RNA is filed under the name 'Musa acuminata' elephantiasis disease phytoplasma. RNAcentral describes it as "bacterial SSU rRNA". It matches the Rfam family "Bacterial small subunit ribosomal RNA", at positions 366 to 1236 of the family's 1533-position model. Lineage: Bacteria; Bacillati; Mycoplasmatota; Mollicutes; Acholeplasmatales; Acholeplasmataceae. The record is from RNAcentral.
UCGCAAUGGAGAACUCUGACCGAGCAACGCCGCGUGACGAUGAAGUAUUUCGGUACGUAAGUUCUUUUAUUAGGGAAGAAUAAUGAUGGAAAAUCAUUCUGACGGUACCUAAUGAAUAAGCCCCGGCUAACUAUGUGCCAGCAGCCGCGGUAAUUCAUAGGGGCAAGCGUUUCCGGAAUUAUUGGGCGUAAAGGGUGCGUAGGCGGUUAAAUAAGUUUAUGGUCUAAGUGCAAUGCUUAACAUUGUGAUGCUAUAAAAACUGUUUAACUAGAGUAAGAUAGAGGCAAGUGGAAUUCCAUGUGUAGUGGUAAAAUGCGUAAAUAUAUGGAGGAACACCAGUAGCGAAGGCGGCUUGCUGGGUCUUUACUGACGCUGAGGCACGAAAGCGUGGGGAGCAAACAGGAUUAGAUACCCUGGUAGUCCACGCCGUAAACGAUGAGUACUAAAUGUUGGGUAAAACCAGUGUUGAAGUUAACACAUUAAGUACUCCGCCUGAGUAGUACGUACGCAAGUAUGAAACUUAAAGGAAUUGACGGGACUCCGCACAAGCGGUGGAUCAUGUUGUUUAAUUCGAAGGUACCCGAAAAACCUCACCAGGUCUUGACAUGCUUCUGCAAAGCUGUAGAAACACAGUGGAGGUUAUCAGUUGCACAGGUGGUGCAUGGUUGUCGUCAGCUCGUGUCGUGAGAUGUUGGGUUAAGUCCCGCAACGAGCGCAACCCUUAUUGUUAGUUGCCAGCACGUAAUGGUGGGACUUUAGCAAGACUGCCAGUGAUAAAUUGGAGGAAGGUGGGGACGACGUCAAAUCAUCAUGCCCCUUAUGACCUGGGCUACAAACGUGAUACAAUGGCUG